GCACCUUUCAAGCGAGUGGCGAACGGGUGAGUAACACGUGGAUAACCUGCCUCAAGGCUGGGGAUAACAUUUGGAAACAGAUGCUAAUACCGAAUAAAACUUAGUAUCGCAUGAUAUCAAGUUAAAAGGCGCUACGGCGUCACCUAGAGAUGGAUCCGCGGUGCAUUAGUUAGUUGGUGGGGUAAAGGCUUACCAAGACAAUGAUGCAUAGCCGAGUUGAGAGACUGAUCGGCCAC
RNAcentral lists this ribosomal RNA (236 nucleotides) under Leuconostoc sp. RNAcentral's name for it is "partial 16S ribosomal RNA". It matches the Rfam family "Bacterial small subunit ribosomal RNA", at positions 80 to 311 of the family's 1533-position model. Lineage: Bacteria; Bacillati; Bacillota; Bacilli; Lactobacillales; Lactobacillaceae. The record is from RNAcentral.